UACCAGCACCCCGAGUGGUCGGGACGUUUAUUGGGCCUAAAGCAUCCGUAGCCGGUUCUGCAAGUCUCCCGUUAAAUCCAACUGCUCAACAGGUGGGCUGCGGAGGAUACUACAGAGCUAGGAGGCAGGAGAGGCAAGCGGUACUCAAUGGGUAGGGGUAAAAUCCGUUGAUCCAUUGAAGACCACCAGUGGCGAAGGCGGCUUGCCAGAAUGCGCUCGACGGUGAGGGAUGAAAGCUGGGGGAGCAAACCGG
RNAcentral lists this ribosomal RNA (253 nucleotides) under uncultured bacterium. Its description in RNAcentral is "partial 16S ribosomal RNA". It matches the Rfam family "Archaeal small subunit ribosomal RNA", at positions 474 to 727 of the family's 1478-position model. The record is from RNAcentral.